This 312-nucleotide long non-coding RNA is filed under the name Medicago truncatula (barrel medic). Its description in RNAcentral is "lncRNA gene1351". Lineage: Eukaryota; Viridiplantae; Streptophyta; Magnoliopsida; Fabales; Fabaceae. The record is from RNAcentral.
GUCGGUAUGAAUAAUAAUAUGAUUGGGAGCAAGAAUGAAUUAUUUCAUCUUCAUCCUGAUGAAGAAUGUAUUGAUUCAUAAAAGUUAUGAACCGUUCGAGCUAAGAAAUGAUAUUUGUACAACUAUUUUGUGACAACAUUUUGACAACUUUAUCUCUCAUAUUCAUAUUAUGUUCUUACUUCCAUCAUCCUCCCUCUUUAUUGUUUUUGACCAAUAAAACGAAAGAAAAAGAAAUUUGCCGCAAAAGUUGUCACCAAAUAAUUGUACAAAUAUCAUUAUUCAUUCAAGCCUUUGUUUUUAAGUGAAUCGAUA